CCAUGUAUAGUAAUAUUUUAAAAUGGGUCUAGUGACCGGGUGGAUUAAGGCGUCGGUUGUGACGUGCACCGUCACCGGUUCGAAUCCCGGUCAUGGKUGGCAUCGCUUUCCAGAAAGUUCAUACUGUCUGGAAAGGAAAGGCCGCCGCCCACCACCCAGACAUGACAAAAACCUACAGGUGCCCAUUCGAAAUUCUGUCAAAAACAUUCACGAGUACCAAAACCACAGUUCCCUCCCGAAAAAUUUACAGGCUAAUAGCCCUUGUUGAAGCCUCAACCCCCAAUAAAAAAAAUAAAAAAUACUUUAUAAUAUUUAUAUAUUUAUAUUAAAAUAUUUUAUAAUAUAACAAUAUUUUCGUAUAGCAAGAUUGAUAUUAUAAAAUCACUCAGUACCCAUACUCUACAGUUAACAACAAUGGCAAUUUAGCUUUUACUUAACGGCUACUAAUUAUUGACGUUGAAGCAUGACAACGAGCGCGCCGAAUUUUCAUUUAACAAAGAUCACAAAUUAGAAUAAAAAGUAGUACUCAAUAAUAUUGUAUUCAUUAUUAAAAAUGUAUUUUAUAUAGGUACCGUCCAAUGUUCAAGUAUUUUAAAAAAGUAUUCAAUAUAUUAUGGAAAAAAGUAUUUGAAUCAGGCGUGGCUUCAGAGAAGUCUCUGAGGGGAGRUAUUUUUUUUGUCGCUAUAACUAAAUUGCAAAGGGGGCCUAGAGAAUAUCCUAACCUAGAACGUACGUUUAGCAAGCAUAAACCUGUUAAACGAUCCUCAUUUAUCUUUGAUCGAAGCCAAGUUUUAACUCUGCUUAUAAAGUUGAAAAACUUCUCUCAGCCGAUGCAACACUAACUGGGAGUGUUGCUAAUAUAUUUUGCAAAUACAAUCUUAUGGUUGGAAGUAUUUCAGUAUCAUAUUUUGUUAAGAGGACGGUAUACCCGCACGUGUUGUCUUCGUCUUAACAAGAUUAUCCUCAAGUGGUACAAAAAAACUCAAGUAUUCGAAAAUAUAGUCUUCAAGUUAAGGUGUUUUAAAAUUCAGGAAAUCAAAAUUCAUGUAUAAGUAUAAUUUAAGUAUAAAAAUAGGGUAGGCAUCAUGUUUAAAAAAUCACUCUGUAUUUAAAUAUGCUAUAUUUUUAAUGGACGAACUUAUAACAUACGUAAAUCUUAUCACUCUGCUUUCCACACAAUUAUUCAAAUUCAAUACUUAUUUUUUUUUAUCAAUAUAUUAUUGAUAAUUAC
This is a long non-coding RNA of Diuraphis noxia (Russian wheat aphid), 1231 nucleotides long. RefSeq lists it as uncharacterized. Lineage: Eukaryota; Metazoa; Arthropoda; Insecta; Hemiptera; Aphididae. The record is from RefSeq and is a predicted model, not a curated record.